RNAcentral lists this ribosomal RNA (500 nucleotides) under uncultured bacterium. RNAcentral's name for it is "partial 16S ribosomal RNA". It matches the Rfam family "Bacterial small subunit ribosomal RNA", at positions 30 to 523 of the family's 1533-position model. The record is from RNAcentral.
AUUGAACGCUGGCGGAAUGCUUUACACAUGCAAGUCGAACGGCAGCACGGACUUCGGUCUGGUGGCGAGUGGCGAACGGGUGGGUAAUGUAUCGGAACGUGCCCAGUCGUGGGGGAUAACGUAGUGAAAAUUACGCUAAUACCGCAUACGAUCUAUGGAUGAAAGCGGGGGAUCGCAAGACCUCGCGCGAUUGGAGCGGCCGAUAUCAGAUUAGGUAGUUGGGGGGGUAAAGGCCCACCAAGCCAACGAUCUGUAGCUGGUCUGAGAGGACGAACAGCCACACUGGAACUGAGACACGGUCCAGACUCCUACGGGAGGCAGCAGUGGGGAAUUUUGGACAAUGGGCGAAAGCCUGAUCCAGCCAUUCCGCGUGCAGGAUGAAGGCCCUCGGGUUGUAAACUGCUUUUGUACAGAACGAAAAGGUUUCUACUAAUACUAGGAGCUCAUGACGGUACUGUAAGAAUAAGCACCGGCUAACUACGUGCCAGCCGCCGCGGUAA